This 421-nucleotide ribosomal RNA is filed under the name uncultured bacterium. Its description in RNAcentral is "bacterial SSU rRNA". It matches the Rfam family "Bacterial small subunit ribosomal RNA", at positions 355 to 774 of the family's 1533-position model. The record is from RNAcentral.
UAAGGAAUAUUGGUCAAUGGACGCAAGUCUGAACCAGCCAUGCCGCGUGAAGGAUGAAGGUCCUCUGGAUUGUAAACUUCUUUUAUCUGGGACGAAAACGGGAUUUUUAUCUCAAUUGACGGUACCAGAGGAAUAAGCACCGGCUAACUACGUGCCAGCAGCCGCGGUAAUACGUAGGGGGCAAGCGUUGUCCGGAUUUACUGGGUGUAAAGGGCGCGCAGGCGGGAUAAAAAGUCAGUGGUGAAAUCCUACAGCUUAACUGUAGAACUGCCUUUGAUACUUUUAUUCUUGAGUUCGGGAGAGAGUGACGGAAUUCCCGGUGUAGUGGUGAAAUACGUAGAUAUCUGGAAGAACACCAGUUGCGAAGGCGGUCUCUUGGUCCGACACUGACGCUGAGGCGCGAAAGCGUGGGGAGCAAACA